This 472-nucleotide ribosomal RNA is filed under the name uncultured bacterium. RNAcentral describes it as "partial 16S ribosomal RNA". It matches the Rfam family "Bacterial small subunit ribosomal RNA", at positions 28 to 507 of the family's 1533-position model. The record is from RNAcentral.
GACGAACGCUGGCGGCGUGCUUAACACAUGCAAGUCGAACGCUGAAGCUUGGUGCUUGCACUGGGUGGAUGAGUGGCAAACGGGUGAGUAAUACGUGAGUAACCUGCCCUUGACUCUGGGAUAAGCCUGGGAAACUGGGUCUAAUACUGGAUACGACAUGUCACCGCAUGGUGGUGUGUGGAAAGGGUUUUACUGGUUUUGGAUGGGCUCACGGCCUAUCAGCUUGUUGGUGGGGUAAUGGCUCACCAAGGCGACGACGGGUAGCCGGCCUGAGAGGGUGACCGGCCACACUGGGACUGAGACACGGCCCAGACUCCUACGGGAGGCAGCAGUGGGGAAUAUUGCACAAUGGGCGGAAGCCUGAUGCAGCGACGCCGCGUGAGGGAUGACGGCCUUCGGGUUGUAAACCUCUUUCAGCACGGAAGAAGCGAAAGUGACGGUACGUGCAGAAGAAGCGCCGGCUAACUACGUG